UAAGGAAUAUUGGUCAAUGGACGCAAGUCUGAACCAGCCAUGCCGCGUGGAGGAUGACGGUCCUCUGGAUUGUAAACUUCUUUUAUUUGGGAAGAAAACCUCUGAUUAUUCGGAGCUUGACGGUACCAGAUGAAUAAGCACCGGCUAACUCCGUGCCAGCAGCCGCGGUAAUACGGAGGGUGCAAGCGUUAUCCGGAUUCACUGGGUUUAAAGGGUGCGUAGGCGGAUAGGUAAGUCCGUGGUGAAAUCCCGGGGCUUAACCUCGGAAUUGCCCUCAAAACUGCACGUCUUGAGACCGAGAGAGGUGAGGGGAAUUCCUAGUGUAGAGGUGAAAUUCGUAGAUAUUAGGAAGAACACCAGUGGCGAAGGCGCCUUACUGGCUCGGUACUGACGCUGAGGUACGAAAGCGUGGGGAGCAAACA
RNAcentral lists this ribosomal RNA (422 nucleotides) under uncultured bacterium. RNAcentral describes it as "bacterial SSU rRNA". It matches the Rfam family "Bacterial small subunit ribosomal RNA", at positions 355 to 774 of the family's 1533-position model. The record is from RNAcentral.